UAAUAAUAAUAAUAAAAUACAAAACUCUGUAGUAUGAUAGUUAUUUCAUAAUAAUAUUAAGUUGUUGCUGUGGCAACGUAAAAGUUGCGAAUACUAAAUUUUGGUAUUUUUGUAAAUGAUGUAAUUGUUAAGUUGAUUUUUUUUCUUUACGUUUGUUCUUUUGGUUUUUUUCCUAGGGCACUGUAAAACAUUAGAUCGUAAAGCAGAUAUUGCAACAUUUCCUAUUUUAUGUCAAGAUUAUAUUACCAGGAGAUUUUUCGGUAGCAUUUAAUGGCCUCUUUAUUGGUGUAACAUUUAAGAUGGCAGUAAAUACUCACCAGUUACAAUAGUGUGACGUAACUUAAGAAACUUCUAGUGUUGGGUUAACCCACGCCCCUUCCCCAUUUUAGAUUGACAAAGGAUCUCAAGUACUUGUGAAGAUCGUUUUCUAUAUUAUUUAUGAAAGUUGUCCUGGUUUGUUCAACAGCUUGAAUGAGUCAACGAUUGCACUUUGAUUUCAUGUAACUGUAGGGUGUUCAUUUCAAAGACUGAUGCACAGUGAAUAUGGUAUGGCAACACAAAUAAUGACCGUUGUUUUAUUGCUUUAGUUAAACCAGAGAACUAAAUACUCCGUAUGCAUCUUGCAUGGUAUUUUAUGUCAAAUUAAGAAGUUAUUUUCAAUUUAAUCUGAGAGAAAAAAAAGAGAUAUAUUGAAUGUUUCUAUCUACACUAUAGGAAAAAAAACCUGCACAUGUGAUGAAAGCAACAGUUGUACUUAAUUUGGGAUUUCUUACACCCCAAACCAAAUGUACAGUUGUGGGACAAAAAACAAACAAACAAAAAAAAGUUGACUGAUGGUGAAAAAAAGCACUUUCGAAUCAGUUGAUAUACUGAGCAGACACAGCGUAUCCAAACACUUUGCCUUACCUUUAGUCCAUUGUUUUUAAGCUUUUGUGUUUCAGAGCUAUUAAUAUGUACUAGGGUGUCAACAGAACUUACUUCUCACCUCCAUUUAUAUAUGAACAUACUAUACCUAUAACUAAGACAUGUAAGAGUUUAUUAUUAUUAUUGUCACUGAGAGACCAAAAGGUUUGACGUUGUUGAUGCUUUUCAAUGACCUUUCCUGUUUGUGACGAGAUGCUGUUCUCAAGGGAUUGUGGGUAUUUUACGCUGUGCUGCUUGACUUCCAUCAGUAAUGCAGUAGCCCAUCGACACACACACAUACACAUGUGUUCAGAGAUCAUACGAGAAGAAAAUUAUAAACCAAGCCCUCUUUGGAUAAUAUUAGUUUUCAUGGAACCAAAAUCAUUU
Sinocyclocheilus grahami is the source of this 1290-nucleotide long non-coding RNA. RefSeq lists it as uncharacterized. The transcript has 3 exons. The record is from RefSeq and is a predicted model, not a curated record. NCBI's taxonomy places the organism in Eukaryota, Metazoa, Chordata, Actinopteri, Cypriniformes, Cyprinidae.